GAUGAACGCUGGCGGCGUGCCUAAUACAUGCCAGUCGAGCGAACAGACGAGGAGCUUGCUCCUCUGACGUUAGCGGCGGACGGGUGAGUAACACGUGGAUAACCUACCUAUAAGGCUGGGAUAACUUCGGGAAACCGGAGCUAAUACCGGAUAAUAUAUUGAACCGCAUGGUUCAAUAGUGAAAGACGGUUUUGCUGUCACUUAUAGAUGGAUCCGCGCCGCAUUAGCUAGUUGGUAAGGUAACGGCUUACCAAGGCAACGAUGCGUAGCCGACCUGAGAGGGUGAUCGGCCACACUGGAACUGAGACACGGUCCAGACUCCUACGGGAGGCAGCAGUAGGGAAUCUUCCGCAAUGGGCGAAAGCCUGACGGAGCAACGCCGCGUGAGUGAUGAAGGUCUUCGGAUCGUAAAACUCUGUUAUUAGGGAAGAACAAAUGUGUAAGUAACUAUGCACGUCUUGACGGUACCUAAUCAGAAAGCCACGGCUAACUACGUG
This 497-nucleotide ribosomal RNA is filed under the name uncultured bacterium. RNAcentral's name for it is "partial 16S ribosomal RNA". It matches the Rfam family "Bacterial small subunit ribosomal RNA", at positions 28 to 507 of the family's 1533-position model. The record is from RNAcentral.